AGAUUGAACGCUGGCGGCAGGCCUAACACAUGCAAGUCGAGCGGUAGAGAGGUGCUUGCACCUCUUGAGAGCGGCGGACGGGUGGGUAAAGCCUAGGAAUCUGCCUGGUAGUGGGGGAUAACGCUCGGAAACGGACGCUAAUACCGCAUACGUCCUACGGGAGAAAGCAGGGGACCUUCGGGCCUUGCGCUAUCAGAUGAGCCUAGGUCGAUUAGCUAGUUGGUGAGGUAAUGGCUCACCAAGGCGACGAUCCGUAACUGGUCUGAGAGGAUGAUCAGUCACACUGGAACUGAGACCACGGUCCAGACCUCCGUACGGGAGGCAGCGAGGUGGGAAUAGUGGAACAAGUGGGACGAAAGCCUAGACUCCGAGUCCAUCGCCGCGUGUGUAGAAGAAGGUCUUACGGAUUAG
RNAcentral lists this ribosomal RNA (411 nucleotides) under uncultured soil bacterium. RNAcentral describes it as "bacterial SSU rRNA". It matches the Rfam family "Bacterial small subunit ribosomal RNA", at positions 26 to 426 of the family's 1533-position model. The record is from RNAcentral.